This 479-nucleotide ribosomal RNA is filed under the name uncultured bacterium. Its description in RNAcentral is "bacterial SSU rRNA". It matches the Rfam family "Bacterial small subunit ribosomal RNA", at positions 29 to 497 of the family's 1533-position model. The record is from RNAcentral.
AUUGAACGCUGGCGGCAUGCUUUACACAUGCAAGUCGAACGGCAGCCCGGGAGCUUGCUCCUGGUGGCGAGUGGCGAACGGGUGAGUAAUGCAUCGGAACGUACCCAGUAGUGGGGGAUAGCCCGGCGAAAGCCGGAUUAAUACCGCAUAUUUCCUGAGGGAGAAAGCGGGGGACCUUCGGGCCUCGCGCUACUGGAGCGGCUGAUGUCGGAUUAGCUAGUUGGUGAGGUAAAGGCUCACCAAGGCGACGAUCCGUAGCUGGUCUGAGAGGAUGAUCAGCCACACUGGGACUGAGACACGGCCCAGACUCCUACGGGAGGCAGCAGUGGGGAAUUUUGGACAAUGGGGGCAACCCUGAUCCAGCCAUGCCGCGUGAGUGAAGAAGGCCUCGGUGUAAGACUCUUUCAGGUGGAAGGAAAUACACUACCCGAACUAACGGGUAGGUGGAGUGACGGUACCGAUACAGAAGAAGACACCGG